CCUACGGGAGGCAGCAGUGAGGAAUAUUGGUCAAUGGACGGGAGUCUGAACCAGCCAAGUAGCGUGAAGGAUGAAUGCCCUAUGGGUUGUAAACUUCUUUUAUAUGGGAAUAAAAUGUUCCACGUGUGGGAUUCUGUAUGUACCAUAUGAAAAAGGAACGGCUAACUCCGGGCCCGCAGCCGCGGUAAUACGGAGGAUCGGGACGUUAUCCGGGUUUAUUGGGUUUAAAGGGAGCGUAGGUGGAUUGUUAAGUCAGUUGUGAAAGUUUGCGGCUCAACCGUAAGAUUGCAGUUGAAACUGGCAGUCUUGAGUACAGUAGAGGUGGGCGGAAUGCGUGGUGUAGCGGUGAAAUGCUUAGAUAUCACGAAGAACUCCGAUUGCGAAGGCAGUUCACUGGACUGCAACUGACACUGAGGCUCGAAAGUGUGGGUAUCAAACAGGAUUAGAUACCCGAGUAGUC
RNAcentral lists this ribosomal RNA (460 nucleotides) under uncultured bacterium. RNAcentral describes it as "partial 16S ribosomal RNA". It matches the Rfam family "Bacterial small subunit ribosomal RNA", at positions 338 to 795 of the family's 1533-position model. The record is from RNAcentral.